UGCCAUGUGGGCGAUCUGGCUGCGACAUCUGUCACCCCAUUGAUCGCCAGAGUUGAUUCGGCUGAUCUGGCUGGCUAGGUGGGUGUCCCCUUCCUCCCUCACCGCUCCAUGUAUGUCCCUCCUGAAGCUGCGCGCUCGCUCGAAGAGGACCACCAUCCCUGCUAGAGGAGGGCCGGUCUUCGGUCAAGGGUAUACGAGUAGCUGCGCUCCCCUGCUAGAACCUCCAAACAAGCUCUCAGGGAAGUCUUGUAUUCUAUAAUGAGGAAUGUAUAAGGAUAAUGGGAAGCCUUUGAAGAGUAGUGAGCAAAGGAGAAACAUUAUCU
RNAcentral lists this small nuclear RNA (323 nucleotides) under Mandrillus leucophaeus (drill). Its description in RNAcentral is "7SK RNA (ENSMLEG00000015345.1)". The stretch from base 1 to 282 matches the Rfam family "7SK RNA". From Rfam's summary of the family: 7SK was discovered as an abundant small nuclear RNA in the mid-70s but a possible function has only recently been suggested. Two independent studies have found that 7SK RNA binds the CDK9/cyclin T complex (known as elongation factor P-TEFb). P-TEFb activates transcription by phosphorylating the C-terminal domain of RNA polymerase II. Lineage: Eukaryota; Metazoa; Chordata; Mammalia; Primates; Cercopithecidae. The record is from RNAcentral.